RNAcentral lists this transfer RNA (85 nucleotides) under Felis catus (domestic cat). It matches the Rfam family "tRNA". From Rfam's summary of the family: Transfer RNA (tRNA) molecules are approximately 80 nucleotides in length. Their secondary structure includes four short double-helical elements and three loops (D, anti-codon, and T loops). Lineage: Eukaryota; Metazoa; Chordata; Mammalia; Carnivora; Felidae. The record is from Rfam by way of RNAcentral.
GCCUGAGUGGCUCAGUCAGUUGAGCAUCUGACUUCAGCUCAGGUCAUGAUCUCAUGGUUUGUGGGUUCGAGUCCCACAUCAGGCU